Molecule: long non-coding RNA, 4124 nt
Organism: Prionailurus viverrinus (fishing cat)
Lineage: Eukaryota; Metazoa; Chordata; Mammalia; Carnivora; Felidae
Exons: 3
Source: RefSeq, a predicted model, not a curated record
UUAAACAUAGAAUUGUCUUGUGCCUGAGCAAUACCACUCAUAGGUUUACAUGCAAGAAAAAUGAAAACCUACAUCCCCAUGAAAACUUGUACGGGAACAUUCCGAGCGGCAUUUCACACCAUCGCCCCUGAUGUGGAAACACCCAAAAGCCCUGUCGGCUGAUCGGCGGUGAAUCACGACCCGGCCACGUAACGGAAUGUUACUCGGUGGUGACAGGGAGCCGGGUACGGACACCUGAUACUCCGUGGAUGAACCCAGAACACACAGGGAGUGAAAACAGCUGGACACAAAAGGCCACACAGGGUACAAUUCCAUUUAUACGGGACAUCGAGAGGGACCAACGCAGAGACAGAAAGUAGGUCAGGAAGUUUCGUGGUUGCCUACAGCUGGAAGGUGGCUGCGGGCAAUGGGGACCGGUUGGUGAUGGGUGUGGGGUUUCUGUUUGGGGCGAUGAGGAAACAUUUGGAAAUUUAGUAGUGGUGACGGCUGCACAACCCUGUGAAUUUACACUGGAAAGUAUUCACUAGUGCAGUCUGAGUGGGUGAAUCGUAUGGUAGGUGUUACCGUCGGCGUAAAGCAGUUGCCAAAAAAAUCGGUAAUGGUAUCUUUUUUUAAAAAUGUAAUUUCUAGCUCUUUGUAUUUGGUGUAACGUAGGAGCCAGCAAACCGUGGCAUACAGGCGAAGCCUGGCCUGCUGCCUGUUUUUGUAAAUAAAGUUUUAUUGGAACACAGCCGCGCCGAUUCAUGUCCGUGAAUCUGCGGCUGUUUUCCUGCUACAGUGUGACGGAGCGGUAAGUUACCGUAGACACUGGAUGGCCUGCAGGGAUGAAAAUAUCAGAAAAGUUGCAGAAAAUGUUUGCCAACUCCCGUUGUAGGGGAACACGAUUGCGUCUGUGUGCCGCUCUUGUAUCCGCAGUCUUGCUGACUGACUUUUUUGGGGGUUUCUGUGCAGUUAGUUUUCCUUCUUUCUAGUCCUUGUAACUUAUUUAUUGUUCUCGCUCUCACUGGGCCGGCCACGACCUCUGUGCAGUGUGGAAAGGCAGUGAUUCGGGUCUUCGUCUGCCUCUGGUCUUAGCAAGCCUCGGGUUGCUUUGCUGUGGACUGUGGCUGGAUCCGCUGUGACAGAGGAAGCUGCCUACCUUCCUAGUUUAUGAGAGCUGGUUUUUAUUUGGCAAGUCAUAAAAGGGGGCUCGCUCGUGGCCCUUCGUCUCUGAGCCUCUCUCCUCUCCUAGGCAUGGUUCCCGGGGCGGGGGCGGCACCGGACCUUCCUUCUGUCCCCAGGCUGCACUCCGCAACAGCUACAUAAUUGAAUCUGCUACCAGAGGUCACUUUCUCCAGUCACCCGGCAUAGGCUACAAGAGCCAACUGCCCAGACUCCUGGACAGAGGGCCACCCACACUCCUGACUCCUCUGUCUGUCUGACCUCAGGUCCCAGAGAGGUGGUCAGAGCUGGAUGGCUUCUCAGGUCCACCUGACUGGACGUGUUGCUUUACAGAAGGGAGAACGCUGGCCCUACGAGGCUGACCAACUUGUCCAAGGUCACACUGCACAUGGCCCAGUUGAGACCUUUCUUCCGUGGUAAGAAAUGCAGCACAGCCCACGGUCUGGUCACAGAGUUCAGGGAGAGCCCUUCCUGUCUCAGUUCUGUCUGAGGGGCCACAGGCACAAGAGGGUCUGCCUUAGGGCCUGACUGCCCCAAAGUCAUGUCCAGGAGGAAAGGGCAGGAGACGACUCUGCCAGUUGUCCAGGCCUUGACCAGCAGCAGGGCACCCAAUUCAAUUUGCUUAUCUCCCUUCCUGCCUCCCUCUUCCCUGUGCUUUUCAAUUACAGGCAGAGUCAGUAUCUUUUCUAGUGAGUACAAAGAUGUCAAAGGGUCUGAGUGAGCCAGAGAAGAAGGAUGUCCUUGGUGGCCCUCCACACUGACCAGUACAAGUCUUGGAGCAGAAGGAUGAACUAGUCCGGGUCGUCAUGCCUCGCCCUGCCUCCAGCCAGCUGCACAGGAGCAGUCAUGGGUGAGAACACACAUUCUUUGAGCCAGUAAGUCCACCACGGAAGAAUAUAUGUUUUUUCACAGAUACACGUGCAUGUACAAAGAUUCAUUACAGCACUGUUCAGAAUAGUAAGAGACUAGAAACAACCUAAAUGUCUAUCGGAGAGGGAUGGUUAAAACGUUAUUCUUUAGCCAUGUAAUAGAAUACCAUGCAGCUGUUAGAAUGAAGGCAUUCUUUCUGUCAGGUGGUGAAUAACUGCCAGGAUAUACUGGUAAGGAAGAAGGCAAGGGAUUGAGAAGGGGAGGAGGUAUAAGAGGUAUUUAAUGCUUCUCCUGCAUGUGUGUAUUUUUCAGGAGGGUAUUUAUGAAACUGCUAACACUGGUUUCCUCUGGGAAAGAGAGUUAUUUUUCAUUUUAAAUUCUUGCUCUUUCUGAAUUGGGUGCCAUGGACAAUCUAUUCAGUGAAGUACUUAAUAUAACAAAAGAGAACAUGUUCUCCCUGGAGGUCCUAUAAAGGAGUGACGGGGACUAGGCAUUAAAAAACAUGAUUCCUUGAAACCAAAGCCCUCCCCCCCCCCAACAAUUAUCUGUCAUUAUUCGGUUUUUGAUAAAGCAAGUUAUUUCUCUAUACUCCUAUCUCCAAAAGAACACCAGCAGAAGACCCUCAAUUUUGAGGAUGUCGAUAUAAUAACUUCUCUUCCUACAAGUAACCCCAAAACAGCAUUAAGUAAAAUGCAAGUUCCAUUUCUGGCAAAAGUAGGUGAUAGCUAACCCCCUAAACAACAGGUGGAUAGGCUCCCCAAAGCAACAGAGAUCAAGUGGGGCUGAGGGAGGAAGCAGAAGAGAGAGGGUGCCAUGGCUGUAGAUUUCAGAAACAGCCAGUAGUGUAUCCUUCCCAACUGUGACAGAUACACCCUGUACAAAUCUUAACAAAAUCUAAACCCCUUCUUUGCCGCAGUGGAACCAGGGAUGCAUCAGCUGGUUAUAGACCUUCCCUAGACCCACUUGGUUCUGAAGAGCAAAGAAGGUAGGGCUACAUAAGAAAUCCCACAAAUAAGCCAUACUUGCAGGAACCUGUUUGUGAGGCAACUGGACGGAAAUAGCCUCCUCCAGUGGCAAGUAAUCAAAAUUGAACCACCACAGUACUUAAUCGAAAGGAAAAUGAGAAGGAAAAGCAAAGCCUAAGUAAAAGCUGGCAAAAAACAAAACAAACCACUACUUCCUAUCAGAAAAAUGUAGCCACAGAAAAGAUGAAGAUUAUAGUUAAAUAUUUCAUCGUGAAGGAGAGAACUUAGUAAACAAUGGUUUCCAUAAAGCAAAACCACAAAGAAGAUAUACAAGAGUAGAAGAAGAAACUUACUGUAAAAGCAAAAGGGGGAAAUGGCGUGCAUAAGGAAAACAAGGCACACACACAAAAAGUAAAACGAAAGGCAAAAGACAGCCAAUCUGUGCUUAACUAGAGCCCCCAAAGAAGGAAACUGAAAUAAUACAAGCCUUGGAUCUGCCUGUCAAAAGGGCACGGGUACUGCGUUCUGGGAAAAAGAUACUCUGAACAGUCAACCCCAAGACAUAUGCUAGUAAAGUAAUAACAUGAAAGAUAUGGAAAGAUCAAAGUAAAAUAUGAAGAAAGAAGAAUCAGGCUUCAACUUCUCCAUGGCAACAUUCAACAUUAGAGGAGAAUAGAAUAUGGUCUGCAAAGACCCUCAAGGAAACAAAGUGACCCAGGGAUUAUUUCUCAUUCACUCAAGCAGAUAGUCGACAGACCUUUCUGAACUUGGGAACUCUCGAAGUGCUGUUCACGUGAGGCCUUAAGCCAUAUACACGUGGACCAACUUUGGAUGAUGGGAAACUGAGGCACAGGAACUGGUGGUGAGCACUGGCCCUAUUUCUCUCGGAGACAGACUGAAAACAACUGGGCGUAGUGAUGUAACCACCAUUACGAGCCCUGGGAUAGAGUAAUGGUACCGCUAAUAACAAAGUGGGGAGGGAAAGGAGGGAUGGCAGUAGAAGCGCAGAUAUCCCCAUAUUUAAUAAUUGGGAAUAGAAGAUAUCCUUUCUUUUUUUAAUGUUUAGUUUUGAGAGAGCAUGAGCAGGGUAGGGGCAGAGAGAGGGAGACCUAGAAUCUGAAGCAGGCU